GUUUAAUUAACACUUAAAAGAAUUAUACUCGUUGCAAAAGCUUUAAAAACGCACAUUUCACAGUCAUUAUUAUUCUUAUCCAUUCAAUCUGUGAUUAUUUAAAAUAACUAUUUCUGAAAAAAACAUAUGCUGUUGGGUGUUUUAGGGAGCUUUUUUGUUUUAAAAGAAAUCCCAUUCACUUUCGUGCAUCUGGUAAAAAAAAGGAUUCCAAAACAUGAAAAAAAAAAAAAAAAAAAAAAAGAAGUGUUCUUUUAAUUGAAAGCAGCUUGUGCUGAAUGAGGCUGGUUCAGGUGCUGUUUGUUGGGAGCUGUUUGCGUAAAAAACUCCACCAAACUCACUUUUUUGUAUCGAAUGCUACAUUUUUUAUGCCACCCGGCCUUGUAAUAAGUCACUUCUGCCACUUUUAAAGGACUUUUUGAAGGAAAAAUGAAGGAAUAAUGAGGAGUUUGACGCGUUUCUUGGCCGCUGCUGUUUGGAUCCAGCUGACCAGUUGGAAAAGUUGUGGGUUCCAUUAAUGCUCGGGGCCAAAGAGGAGGAAGAACACGGUCAGGUUUGUUGACUCCAAGGCAUCGGGGGUAAAUGAAGAGAUUGCUGAUACCAGGAACAGCUACACAAAUAUUGUGGACAGCCGCUCUGCUCCCCUACUGUCCUCCGCUAUGCCAGCAGCCAGGACCAGCCGUCGUCCUCGGUGGGAGACAGGAGAGGGGACAGGUGCAGGGUCUGGCUGUGUCCACUGUCCCUGCUGGAUCUGCUUCUUUCUCACACUCCACAGUCAAAGACGUUCCUCUCAUUCUCUCCCCACGUUCACUGCAGCUCAUCUCCAGCAGGAAUCGUCUAUUUUCACCGCCUCCUCGCUGUUUCUGCUGCACGGAUUCUUCUUACACAGCAAAUUAGUCACUUGAUCUUUGUAGCUGCUGUCUUUUUGCACAAGUCCUGUCCAACUUUUGACCUCUACAUCUUAUAUUUAAU
Long non-coding RNA from Amphiprion ocellaris (clown anemonefish), 969 nucleotides. Lineage: Eukaryota; Metazoa; Chordata; Actinopteri; Pomacentridae. The record is from Ensembl.